UAUCCACUCAGCUGCGUACACCAACGCACGUCCCCUAGAUGGAGGCGUAGAUCAUUGUGGGAUCAUUGGAUUGGCCCUUUGGGAAUAACUGGACAAACCACUUGAACCCAGCACAUCACCUCUGACCCCUGUGUCAUCUGUGGCUGGUCCUCAAGAGACCAGUGUUGACAUCAACUUCAAAUAUGACACUGAAGAGCAUCAAUGAGGUCCACUUUUCCGACUGCUGGAAUGCAAACUGAUUAAUAUUUAUGUAAAGAAAUAAAAAAUGUUUAAGAUUAAAUGAUAUUAUUAGCACCAUAGCACUUGUCCUAACAAUUCAAUAUAACUGAUUUCAUGGUUGCAUGUAUGUUUGUAACCUUACUUUUUGAAAGAUACUAUUUUCUAAAUAAAUGCAAACAGAUGUUA
RNAcentral lists this long non-coding RNA (405 nucleotides) under Danio rerio (zebrafish). RNAcentral describes it as "lncRNA si:ch211-132d3.5 (ENSDARG00000101727.3)". Lineage: Eukaryota; Metazoa; Chordata; Actinopteri; Cypriniformes; Danionidae. The record is from RNAcentral.